GUUUGAGAGGGCAGAAUUUCUGAGCACAGAUCUGAGCCAGUCUCAGAGUCAAAGUCUCCAGGGAUUGUACGCCAGGGGAGCUGGUCCUCCCAUCCCUAGCUCACCCUCAAGAUGGCCUGGAAAAUGCUUUCAAAAUCAGGCUGUGCAUCUGGAAAGUUCUUGAGCUAGCUACCUGACCCAGAGGCUGUCACCCCACAGUGAAAACCUGAGACCAGUUAUUCCUCAUUCCUGUUCUUCCCUAUGGCCAGAACGACGUGACUGAAACUGCCAAGUUCUGCUGCUUACUGGGGCUGGAGCAUGGUCCUCUCAUUCAAUUACAUCUUCAUCAGCUUUCUACUUUUGAUCUUCACUGCCAAAGUUUGGCUGUCUUCAACCUGCAUCUCUAGACAACUCUGGCCUCAAACUCAGAGAUCUGCCAGCCUCAGCCUUCUCAGUGCUGAAAUUAAAGAGAGAAUGCUCCCUACUUUCUCCUGGAAAAGAAUUGCAGCAAUGCACAAAGGAAAAUGGACACCUGCCCUAUCCCCAUGCACUCAUGGGGCUUAUGUUCCACACUUCAGGUUCUACUGAGACUUCCAAUAGAGGUAGCAACUAUAUAGCAAGAACUUCAGAGUGAAAAAUUAAUCUCCACAUCUCUUACCACACAUCUUCCUGAAGGAUCUAACCAAGAGCAGCUAACUGCAAGGAAAAUGUUGGGGGCCCAUUUGAUCUGAGAGGUCUACGCUGCCACCCAGGAUGCUGAUGACAACUGGACCCAAGCUGCUGCUGCUGGCCAUGUCUGUAUCCAUGGUCCUGAUGUGGCUGGGGUCUGUGUUGAUGUCUGUUACCUGUGUUACCACAGGGGACUUGCAAACCAUGUAUUGAACUGCUUGUUGAAUUACAAGGGCCAUGCUGAGCUGGUCCUACCUGUCACUGGCCCAGCGAGAUCCAGUUGCCUCCUCACCGGUGAGCCAACCAUACACCCCCAGCAUUGGUCCCACCUCACAUAGGAGAGCCUCCCACACUUGAGAAAGCUGGACCCACCCCUCACUACCAGCACUGAAGAGCUGGCUCCGCCCCUCACCUGAGGAGGAUGGUCCCAGCAGCCUGGACUGACCAACUCAGCUACCACGUAGGCAUGUUUCCAGGGCUCUGAGUUGGCACUCUCCAACAUCUACCCCCUCUAUGACCUGCUGGAGUGUGUGAAGGGUCUGGUCCUUCGUAACCAUAGCCACAGGAUCUCCAUGACUUCAGGCAACUGCAGGGUAUCAUAGAGGAGAUUCAGCGAGGGUCCAGUAUUGAUAGUGUACAAGAAGCCAGAGGCCUUGAACCUGACCAACAACACACUACAUAAUGAAUAUUUGCAAGUAAAGCUGUUUGGACAAAAGGGUAUACUACAUGAUAACACCGUAUCUCCCAAUGCCACUGAGAGGAAUGAAGAGGCAAUAGAGAGGCAGGAAAGAUAGAGGAGUGAAGUGUUUCUUUUUGUUGUUGUUGUUUUGUUUUCUUGAGACAGGGUUUCUCUGUAUUGCUUUGGAGGUUGUCCUGAACUCACUCUGUAGACCAGACUGGCCUUCAACAGUCUGCCUGCCUCUGCCUCCCGAGUGCUGGGGAUUAAAGGCAUAGGUCACCAACGCCCCCGACUGCUUUUUUGUUUAUUUGCUUUUUGUUUUUUGUUUAUCUUAAUUAACAUUUCUUAUUUGCAUUUUUUUAAUUUCGAUUUAAUUUUAUUCUAUUUAUUUUUAGUUUUCCUUUGCAGGGGCAAUACUACAAAAGUGAAGGGUAGAUGGAGA
This 1769-nucleotide long non-coding RNA is filed under the name Cricetulus griseus (Chinese hamster). Its description in RNAcentral is "lncRNA (ENSCGRG00015038461.1)". Lineage: Eukaryota; Metazoa; Chordata; Mammalia; Rodentia; Cricetidae. The record is from RNAcentral.